AGCAGAGUGGCGCAGUGGAAGCGUGCUGGGCCCAUAACCCAGAGGUCCGGGGAUCGAAACCUUGCUCUGCUA
Non-coding RNA from Nematostella vectensis (starlet sea anemone), 72 nucleotides. Lineage: Eukaryota; Metazoa; Cnidaria; Anthozoa; Actiniaria; Edwardsiidae. The record is from Rfam.